CCAGCAGCCGCGGUAAUUCCAGCUCCAAUAGCGUAUACUAAAGUUGCUGCAGUUAAAAAGCUCGUAGUUAAAGGUGCGGCUAGUGGUAGUUGGUAGACGCAUGUCUGCCAUUGCUGUAGUCGUAGUUGUGAGGGUCGGUUUCGGGUCUCACUCAGUCACUGUGAAGUAAUCCGAGUGUCCCAAGCAGGCGGUUUGGCCUGAAGGGUAUAGCAUGGAAUGACGAGAUAGGACCUUGUGGUAUUUCGUGGGUUUGCACGACGAGGUAAUGAUGAAGAGGGGCGGUUUGGGGCACUCAGAUUUGGCUGCCAGAGGUGAAAUUCUCGGAUCAGCCAAAGAUGGACGACUGCGAAAGCACUUGCCAGGGACGCUCCCGCUAAUCAAGAACGAA
Molecule: ribosomal RNA, 388 nt
Filed under: uncultured eukaryote
Lineage: Eukaryota
Description: SSU rRNA
Rfam family: Eukaryotic small subunit ribosomal RNA
Source: RNAcentral